CUAUCUCCCAUAAUGCUUAGCCGUAGCUCCGAGUGGCUAAGACUUCUGGGAGUUGAAG
Molecule: microRNA precursor, 58 nt
Filed under: Anolis carolinensis (green anole)
Lineage: Eukaryota; Metazoa; Chordata; Lepidosauria; Squamata; Anolidae
Description: Aca-Mir-5408_pre stem-loop
Source: RNAcentral